UUUGCUACCCUUCCACACAUUAACUUCAUCAUAUUCAGGUUUAUGAUAGCAUUGUGAAUUAAACAAAGGGAAAGCUCACAGCUCAGCUGAUAUUCAACAUCCAUGGAAAUGGGCUUAACCUUUUCAGAUUUAAGAUUUAUAUAGUGAGAUUCUACUGUCAGAAAAAUUUGCUUCGUAUGUCUACAGGGAUUCAGAAUUAACACGACAUUUGGACAAUUUCGACUGAGAAGGAAGUCUGCAGCUAUGAAUUACUCUACUGGAUCUGCAGGGUUCCUGCAUCUCUCUGCUUUCUACUGAACAUCCAGGUAACUUGCACACAUUGAAACCCACCAUUGUGCUGAACUGAGCUGCUGUGAUAUCCCUGUCAGUACAGUUUCUAGUUGCACCACAUGAGCUUUUAUGGCAGGUUGAUUAGCAGCAUCGGCAUUGCAGCGAGAGUGAGCAUACAUGGAAUGGCGGCCUGGUGGUCAGAGAUAGCAGCGGACCUUUCAAGAUGACAGCGUGACAAGGUGAUACCUCUGAGGAGAUCAGCUCGAGUGAGACUCCCGGCCAGAUGGUGCCAGAGGCCUGGCCUAGCAGCAGAGCCAGGGGUUCCUGGUUGCAGUAGGCCCAGGGCGGGGGACUCCUGGUUAUCGGAAAGGCAGCAGAGGCAGUGGGGCUGGGGACUCCUAGUUGUGAGAUAACUGCUGGUUCGGGACAGAACCCAGCAUCGGCAGUGGUAAGGUGGGCCCAGCAGUGAAGAGAUGGCAACUAUAGAGUGGCAACUGCUACACUGAUGGGUCCCAUGCAGAAGAUGGCAAGAUGGGGGAGGCGCAGGUAUCGACGAUAGACAUUCAUUCAGUUAUAUCUUUUUAUUCUUAAACUAUUCAAAAUGGCGCCAGAUUGUGGUGAAGUUGAAGCUUUUUAUUGUAUCUUGCUGAAUAUUCACUGUAAAAUGCAAGUGACAAUAAAUCAUACAAUUCAAUUCUUGUGCAUCUAUGCUGAAUUUUACCUGUGCUUCUACCAGCUCUUUGUAUUAAGGUAUACAGGACUGCAGGACAAUAAAUUCCAAAUGUUCCUAACUGGAGCCUUAUUCAAAAUUAGAUUCCAUAUCUAUUGUAUUUAUAUAGGUGAAAUGAUAUUGAAGAUGGAAAUAUAAUUAAACUCACAGCUCUAAACUGAACACACUUCAAAAAGCAUUUCAUGAAUUUAAAGCAUUUUUCCAUGCUCUGGUGUUGUGUAAAGGAGUAUGCAAGUGCAUAUCUUUCUUUCUAAAUCCAUACGACUACAUAAGAAAUAAGACCAGGAAUAGAUGAUCUCUUGAGCCUGUUUUGCAAUAUUCAACUGAUCCAUAUUUAACUCACAGUCCCUUAUACCCCUCGACCCUGACACAACAUAUUUACCCCUUUCCAAUGGAUCCAACACUGACACCUGUGAGGCACAACACCCCACCAGACACUCCCCCACUCUGCAUGCCAGUCCAACAUCGACACCCCCAUUCUGCUGUGGACCAGACCUGACACCCCCUUCCCAUCUCUGCUGGAUCUGUCCUGAUUCGUCCCACCUGCUGGGCCUGACACCCCAGGCCCAAUACCCAUCCUCCCAGUUUUCCCUAUCAGACCCAAUUUCCCCAACCUAACUUGACCUGUCCUAAUUGCUGUCUUGCUAUCUUUCAGUCUGCCACCUAUCCAUUGGGCACCCUAUUCUGCUGGUAAGCUACUUCCCUGGCACCCUGACUCCUUCUCAUCUGGCAUCCAGUCCCUAGCAUCUUAACCGCUCCCCAGUUGAUACCCUCACUAGCUACAUUCUACAAACAUGACGCUCUGAUACCCUAUCUACCUGUCA
Chiloscyllium plagiosum (whitespotted bambooshark) is the source of this 1824-nucleotide non-coding RNA. Lineage: Eukaryota; Metazoa; Chordata; Chondrichthyes; Orectolobiformes; Hemiscylliidae. The record is from RefSeq and is a predicted model, not a curated record.